RNAcentral lists this transfer RNA (73 nucleotides) under Aspergillus avenaceus. RNAcentral's name for it is "tRNA-Gln". The record is from RNAcentral. Lineage: Eukaryota; Fungi; Ascomycota; Eurotiomycetes; Eurotiales; Aspergillaceae.
UAUGUUGUUGACUAACCGGUAAGUCAUAAAUUUUUGGUAUUUACUAUUGGGUGUUCGAGUCGCCCCAACAUAA